Molecule: ribosomal RNA, 418 nt
Filed under: Trichiurus lepturus (Atlantic cutlassfish)
Lineage: Eukaryota; Metazoa; Chordata; Actinopteri; Scombriformes; Trichiuridae
Description: partial large subunit ribosomal RNA
Rfam family: Bacterial large subunit ribosomal RNA
Source: RNAcentral
CCGUGCGAAGGUAGCGUAAUCAUUUGUCUUUUAAUUGAGGACCCGUAUGAAUGACAUAACGAGGGCUCAACUGUCUCCUUCUUUCAGUCAAUGAAAUUGAUCUCCCCGUGCAGAAGCGGGGAUUUAUACAUAAGACGAGAAGACCCUAUGAAGCUUUAGACACUCGGACAUACCCUGUCAAGACCCCCUUAUUAAAGGGCCAAACCUACCCACCAUGUCCCUGUCUUAGGUUGGGGCGACCCCGGGGACAAAAAUCCCCCACGUGGAACAGUAGAAUAUCCACAACCAAGAGCCACAACUCUAAAAACCAGAACCUCUGACCACAAUAAUGACCCGGCAAUGCCGAUCAACGAACCAAGUUACUCUAGGGAUAACAGCGCAAUCCCCUUUUAGAGACCGCAUCAACAAGGGGGUUUAC